UCAAUACGGUACCCUGCACACG
RNAcentral lists this unclassified non-coding RNA (22 nucleotides) under Chlamydomonas reinhardtii. Its description in RNAcentral is "small RNA Cre_2457". The record is from RNAcentral. Lineage: Eukaryota; Viridiplantae; Chlorophyta; Chlorophyceae; Chlamydomonadales; Chlamydomonadaceae.